Molecule: transfer RNA, 73 nt
Filed under: Nocardioides faecalis
Lineage: Bacteria; Bacillati; Actinomycetota; Actinomycetes; Propionibacteriales; Nocardioidaceae
Rfam family: tRNA
About the family: Transfer RNA (tRNA) molecules are approximately 80 nucleotides in length. Their secondary structure includes four short double-helical elements and three loops (D, anti-codon, and T loops). Further hydrogen bonds mediate the characteristic L-shaped molecular structure. tRNAs have two regions of fundamental functional importance: the anti-codon, which is responsible for specific mRNA codon recognition, and the 3' end, to which the tRNAs corresponding amino acid is attached (by aminoacyl-tRNA synthetases). tRNAs cope with the degeneracy of the genetic code in two manners: having more than one tRNA (with a specific anti-codon) for a particular amino acid; and 'wobble' base-pairing, i.e. permitting non-standard base-pairing at the 3rd anti-codon position.
Source: Rfam by way of RNAcentral
GCCCCCGUUGUGUAGCGGCCUAGCACACCGCCCUCUCACGGCGGCAGCGCCGGUUCGAAUCCGGUCGGGGGUA